AGAGUUUGAUCCUGGCUCAGGAUGAACGCUGGCGGCGUGCUUAACACAUGCAAGUCGAACGAUGACUUUUGUGCUUGCACAAAAUGAUUAGUGGCGAACGGGUGAGUAACACGUGAGUAACCUGCCCUUAACUUCGGGAUAAGCCUGGGAAACCGGGUCUAAUACCGGAUACGACGGAUUCCCGCAUGGGGGUCCGUGGAAAGCUUGAUGCGGUUUUGGAUGGACUCGCGGCCUAUCAGCUGGUUGGUUGGGGUAAUGGCCCACCAAGGCGACGACGGGUAGCCGGCCUGAGAGGGUGACCGGCCACACUGGGACUGAGACACGGCCCAGACUCCUACGGGAGGCAGCAGUGGGGAAUAUUGCACAAUGGGCGAAAGCCUGAUGCAGCGACGCCGCGUGAGGGACGAAGGCCUUCGGGUUGUAAACCUCUUUCAGCAGGGAAGAAGCGAAAGUGACGGUACCUGCAGAAGAAGCGCCGGCUAACUACGUGCCAGCAGCCGCGGUAAUACGUAGGGCGCAAGCGUUAUCCGGAAUUAUUGGGCGUAAAGAGCUCGUAGGCGGUUUGUCGCGUCUGCUGUGAAAGCCCGGGGCUCAGCCCCGGGUCUGCAGUGGGUACGGGCAGACUAGAGUGCAGUAGGGGAGACUGGAAUUCCUGGUGUAGCGGUGAAAUGCGCAGAUAUCAGGAGGAACACCGAUGGCGAAGGCAGGUCUCUGGGCUGUAACUGACGCUGAGGAGCGAAAGCAUGGGGAGCGAACAGGAUUAGAUACCCUGGUAGUCCAUGCCGUAAACGUUGGGCACUAGGUGUGGGGGACAUUCCACGUUUUCCGCGCCGUAGCUAACGCAUUAAGUGCCCCGCCUGGGGAGUACGGCCGCAAGGCUAAAACUCAAAGGAAUUGACGGGAGCCCGCACAAGCAGUGGAGUAUGUGGUUUAAUUCGACGCAACGCGAAGAACCUUACCGGAGCUUGACAUCCUCAGAAGACUGGGUAAUGCCGGUUGUGCCCUUCGGGGAACUGAGAGACAGGUGGUGCAUGGUUGUCGUCAGCUCGUGUCGUGAGAUGUUGGGUUAAGUCCCGCAACGAGCGCAACCCUUAUGUUUAGUUGCUACGCAAGAGCACUCUAGACAGACUGCCGUUGACAAAACGGAGGAAGGUGGGGACGACGUCAAAUCAUCAUGCCCCUUACGCCCCGGGCUACACACGUACUACAAUGGUGAGAACAAAGAGAAGCGAGACCGCGAGGUGGAGCUAACCUCAUAAAAAUCAUCCCAGUUCGGACUGCAGGCUGCAACCCGCCUGCACGAAGUUGGAAUUGCUAGUAAUCGCGAAUCAGCAUGUCGCGGUGAAUACGUUCCCGGGCUUUGUACACACCGCCCGUCAAG
Molecule: ribosomal RNA, 1381 nt
Filed under: uncultured bacterium
Lineage: Bacteria
Description: partial 16S ribosomal RNA
Rfam family: Bacterial small subunit ribosomal RNA
Source: RNAcentral